RNAcentral lists this ribosomal RNA (673 nucleotides) under uncultured Funneliformis. RNAcentral's name for it is "partial large subunit ribosomal RNA". Lineage: Eukaryota; Fungi; Glomeromycota; Glomeromycetes; Glomerales; Glomeraceae. The record is from RNAcentral.
CCGGAAGACGGGGACGGAGAACCCGCGCCCGGUCCGCGGGUGCGAGGCGUUUACAGCCUCGGAUUUCGAGAGUGGGCCUUCUGGUGUAUUUUCGUACGGUUAGUCAACAUCGGUUUUGAAUGUCAUAAAAUGACUGGAGGAAUGUGGCUUCGAUCUCGUAUUGAAGUGUUAUAGCCUUUGGUAGAUGUGAUGUUUGAGACCGAGGAUUGCAACGGAUACCCUUCUGGGCUAUUCGUCUGAUCUCUGAAACGUUGCCUUGAUGUCGAAAGCUUGCUUAUGAUGUUAGGGUAUUACGGUCAAAAGGUUAGAACGGAUUAAAUUCGUUAAGUGGAUGACGUAAACUACCCUAACAUCAUAAGCAGCUUUCAACAUCGGGGGCGACUUUAAAUAGAUACAAAAGACCAGAACGGGAUGGCUUGUCCUUCUGCGGUCCUCGAUCUCAAACCUCAGAGCAUCAAAAUGCUAUCAGAGUUCGCCACCACCUCCCCCCCCUCUUUCCUCCUGUCACUUAAUGACGAUCAGAACCGAUAUUGACCAAUCAUACGACAUGGUACACCAGAGGAGUCUAAUCUUUUAUAUCCGAAGGCCUUCACCACUCUCGAAACCCACUAGUCCAAACUCAUCAGUCUUAUCUCUUUUAAAAAAUGACAGACUUCAUCGUUUCCGUAUCGAA